CCCACGGCAUGCUAGAAACCAGGUGAAAGAAUGCAGCCUCAUAUUCCCAUGCGUCUAUUUUAUUUUCAUGACAUAGACGCCACCUCGAGACGCAUCUGCCCAUGAUUUAGAAGGGACAAGAGAGACCAGUUCUGCUCCCAAGUACAGUCGUGGAAGGGUUUGGACUGCCUCUGCCCAUGCAAAUGUUGUCUCGCCUGGCUGACUGCUGGCUUGAUGGAUACGGAUGGGUGAGGUGCAAGGCGUCGUUUCUGCAUUCUUGACUUCCUUCCUCCACAGUAACUUAGAUAUUUUGAUGUCAUGCAAGAUUCGGCAUCAUGCACACCCUCUUGCCAACUCGCUCGUUCUCCCUCCUUUCCUCUCAAACGACGACGGUUUGUCCAUCGUGUUGCUCUUUAACAGGUGAAGUCCGUCUCUAAAGCCUUGGAAGCCGAGGAUGGCCCAGAUCCCGCAAAGGCUCAGCCAAGAAAUGCAGCCUUUCACCAGUUUCUCAGCAAGUGUUUCCCCAGUAAAGGGCGUCGUCUCCUGCUGUUUAAGACCGACGAGCCCGGGCCUCCUUCAGGGGACUGAAGAAAAGGGGAAUCAAGCUGUACCUUUAAUUCCACGAAUGCUGUCGUUUGAGAUGGAGUGAUUUAGGGCCUCGCUACCAGGGAUGGUUUCAAGGACAAAUGCUGAUAAACCAAAUGGAAUAUAAACCAAAGGUUUGCAGUACUUUCUUUAAAGCAAAUAUGAUAUCGAUGAGAGUGUUUCUGCUGACAGAUGAAUCGGAACCUUCUUAGUAGCUGAAGUAAAAUUAAUUUCUUUCAUAUGAAAUACCCUUCAUAUCUGCUUUUGUAUGAAUUUAUAUUUAGUAAAGAUCUUAUUCUACCCUGACGGAUAAGAGAAAUAUGACUUCUGCUGAGGUUUCAUGACCAUGGCAGCUGCAGCAUAUUUUUCUUUAAUAAAGCUUUGUAGAGAGAUUGUCAUUGAAAUCUCAUGCAUUUUUGGUUACUCUUCAGUCUUGUCUUAGAAAAUGCUAAGAAUAGCAGUAGAAAUAUCAUUCAAUGAAAAUGCAAAGUACUUUUUAAAAGGGUGUCAACAUAAUAAUAUUCGGGGAGUUUAUUAAAAUUGUUGUACUGUCUUAGGUUUUACACAUAAGAUCUGUGCUGCUUUACUUUCAGAAGUGUCCAUGUGGCUCCAAGGACUUGCUGGAUGGUUAUUCAAUAGUUUGAGAGCACAAAAAUCCAAGAAUAGAAACUAGGAGUCUGCAUAGACAAACCCUGGAAAGUUCGACCUUGUUGAGACAAGUCACAGUUCUUUUCUUUGAGAAAAAAUGCACAGCCACUACCCCAGGGACAUUUAGUUUGGCUGACAUUAUUUAUGAUGGAUCAGAGAACAGAGUACGCUGGAUGGGAAAUCUCUGCUGGACAAGAGUGCCGAGGGAGUUCCUGUCGCGGCUCCGUGGUCCCGAACCUGACUAGCAUCCAGGAGGAUGCGGGUUUGAUCCCUGGCCUCGCUCGGUGGGUUAGGGAUCCGGUGUUGUCGUAGGCUGUGGCGUAGGCUGGCAACUGCAGCUCCGACUCGACCUCUAGCCUGGGAACCUCCAUGUGCCACAGGUGCAGCCCUAAAGAAAUAGAAAAGAAAAGAGUGCUGAGUCACAUUGUCCCAUUUGUAGGUUGUGGGACGGAGGCAGGAGUUGGAGAUGGGGAGAGACAUGUCAUUCUCUCCCUUGCUUUUUGAGCUAGAAUCCUCCCUGCAUUGCUAGGUCCGCCAGAUGGGCUGAAGGCGAAACGCAAUCCCGAAGUGUUUUAUCGCCUUUCCUCUUCUGAGCCCUAGAAGGGUCGUUUAGAACAAACGCAGCCUGUGGAGGGACAAAACUCAUCUGCAGCAGAGGGAGCUGACGAUCCAGAUUAACCGUCACCAACUCCGUGUGACAGCGAUGGGUCUGGGACAUUUCUUCUAGUUGAUGGUGAGGGGGAAGAGGAGAGGUUAUGUCCAUUAUUGCUGUGAAUCCGGGUAGAGUUUCCAAAAGUGCUGUCAAAGGGGCCCCCAAGCGCCUUGGCAUCCGGUGCUUCAAGGUGGGUUGUCUGGCUGGAAAGAAUCAGCCAGCUCUCAGAGCGUCAUCCUCCAGGCAGGGAUAAGAAGGUGGGUCUCAGGACAUCCAGAGCAGCCUGGCAGGUCCCCAGCUGCAUACCUCGGAGCAGAGUCCUAGUAGGGUUCCCAGGGAAUGAGGGCACCGCCCCUCUCAGUGAACAGCAGCCGGCACUCGCCCUGGGAAUAGACUGGUCCUGCCUCUGCAGAGUCGGACACGAGACGGGACAGGAGACCCCCAGCCCGGGAGUCCUUCUGCUGCAGCUUUGGCCGCCUUUAGCGGAGCAUGCGUUUGAAAGCUGAGAAGAGCUGCGGUAUCACUGAAUAAUAAAUGCAUUCAGUGGGACAAUUAAGUCAUUUAAAGAAAUAGAGAAACUGCCACCUAUCUAUGUAGGACUGUUAGACCAUUUCGGAUGCCACUGCUAAACUGAUGAUAAAAAAUGUGUUAGUUAUUUAAAUAAAUAUAUGGCUUGACAGU
This 2545-nucleotide long non-coding RNA is filed under the name Sus scrofa (pig). Its description in RNAcentral is "lncRNA (ENSSSCG00035062120.1)". The record is from RNAcentral. Lineage: Eukaryota; Metazoa; Chordata; Mammalia; Artiodactyla; Suidae.